UCCACGCUGUAAACGAUGUGCACUAGGUGUAGGUGAUGUGAUAGUCAUCUGUGCCGCAGCAAACGCGAUAAGUGCACCGCCUGGGGAGUAUGCCCGCAAGGGUGAAACUCAAAGGAAUUGACGGGGGCCCGCACAAGCGGUGGAGCAUGUGGUUUAAUUCGAUGAUACGCGAGGAACC
Molecule: ribosomal RNA, 178 nt
Filed under: uncultured bacterium
Lineage: Bacteria
Description: partial 16S ribosomal RNA
Rfam family: Bacterial small subunit ribosomal RNA
Source: RNAcentral